Molecule: non-coding RNA, 148 nt
Filed under: Bacillus sp. (in: firmicutes)
Lineage: Bacteria; Bacillati; Bacillota; Bacilli; Caryophanales; Bacillaceae
Also listed under: 1 other name
Description: Bacillus sp. FMN sequence
Rfam family: FMN riboswitch aptamer (RFN element)
About the family: The RFN element is a highly conserved domain that is found frequently in the 5'-untranslated regions of prokaryotic mRNAs that encode for flavin mononucleotide (FMN) biosynthesis and transport proteins. This element is a metabolite-dependent riboswitch that directly binds FMN in the absence of proteins. In Bacillus subtilis, the riboswitch most likely controls gene expression by causing premature transcription termination within the 5' untranslated region of the ribDEAHT operon and precluding access to the ribosome-binding site of ypaA mRNA.
Source: RNAcentral
CAAACGCUUCGGGGCAAGGUGAAAUUCCUUACCGGCGGUGAUCGAGCAAUGGCUCGUCAGUCCGUGACCCGUCCUUCCUCCUUGGAAGGCGGUGGAGCUGGUGAAACUCCGGCACCGACAGUUACAGUCUGGAUGGGAGAAGCGAUUU